Molecule: ribosomal RNA, 254 nt
Filed under: uncultured bacterium
Lineage: Bacteria
Description: partial 16S ribosomal RNA
Rfam family: Bacterial small subunit ribosomal RNA
Source: RNAcentral
CACGUAGGGGGCAAGCGUUGUCCGGAUUUAUUGGGCGUAAAGAGCUCGUAGGCGGUUCGGUAAGUCGGGUGUGAAACCUCCAGGCUCAACCUGGAGUCGCCACUCGAUACUGCUGUGACUAGAGUCCGGUAGGGGAGCGUGGAAUUCCUGGUGUAGCGGUGAAAUGCGCAGAUAUCAGGAGGAACACCGGUGGCGAAGGCGGUUCUCUGGGCCUUACCUGACGCUGAGGAGCGAAAGCGUGGGGAGCAAACAGG